CACCAGGAUGACAACCCUGGGCGAUAAGGUUAAACAGCAGGACCAGGGCAUCUUCAGAACUUUCCAGUCUCUGCCGAGCAGUUUUGCAGGCAGAGAGAACAGUUCUAUUAAGUAGACAAAUGCAUGCACAUUGACUAGAGUUCUUAAACUGGUGACGAAGUUCACCGACAAGCUGAAAAGCCAUGUGCAAGAGAGAAUGGUUUCAAGGGGUGAAACCAGCCUUUUCUAGUGUCUUGGGAGAGGAACUGCAAGAAGGCCGAGGAAUGCUGCUAAAAGGCUGAGGAGAGGAUGAAGUAGGAAGAUGGCUAUGUUAGGAAUAAAGUCACCAGGGAGCGGCUGAAUAGAGGACCCAAGACUAUUCACCAGGAAGAAUGAAGGAGAGCGCUGAGUUGAGGAGCAACUUCCUUGUGUAAAAUAAGGAUGGAUAUCCCAUUGAGUACUUAUUCACCUACUGAUAUAUGUUUGAGUUGUGUCCAGUUUCUUGCGCAUCAUAAUAAAGCCGUGUGUAAACCCAUGGUUAUGCUGUGUCAAUACUUCCCAGAGCUGCAGAGUCAGAUAUCCGGGACGUAGCUGCCGGGCCUCUGAAGGUGUUGAUUGAAUGUUAUCACUCGGGGGAGCUGAGAGAGACCUGGAGAGGCUGGACACGCCAUUGUGUCAUUUCUACUCAUACAUGAUACGCUGCAUCUCCUCACCGUACUCUGUCCUGCAAAAAAUUGUUUUCUACACUAAGUAUAAAAAGAUAAUAGUGAGAUAAAAAGAUACUAAAUGCUUGUCCUAUUACAAAAUCUUGCUCAAUCCUUUUUAAAAACCCCAUUAAUAUUUUAUUCAUUUCUCUAUUUUCUUUUUCCCUUUUUUUGGUGUAUGGCAUAUGGGGUCGUGUGUGUGUGUGUGUGUGUGUGUGUGUGUAUGUGUGUGUGUGUGUGUGUGUGUUUUGUGUGUGUGUGUUGUGUAUGCACAUGCCUGUAGAGGUCAGAGGUUGAGCAUUAGAUAUGCUCCUCAAUUAAUAUCCAUCUUACUCUUUGAGCUAGGGUCUCUUGUUUAAUUUGGAGCUUGCUUAUCUAGACUGGCUGGCCCACAAGCCCAAGGAUUCUCCUGUCUCUGACUCCUUGUGCUAGGAUCACAGACACACAGAGCUAUGCCUGACUUUGUAUGUGGGUGGUACAAUAUAUGUUACUGACUGAGCUGUCUUUCCAGCCCACAUCUGUCCAUUACCUGUUCAACUAGACAGUAAGCUUCAUGAGGGUGAACACCUUGUUUCCUCAUAGCAUCUCUUCCCCUUAGAAUCAUGUUGAAGAAAGGGUUUCAAUGAAUUCUGCAUGAAUAAAUUGCAUCUGGAAAGCAGUGUAAGACUGGUGUCUAGAAGAACAUAAGAUAUUGUAUAACCUGAAGUGCAUCUAUACAACUUUAAACUGGUCUAUUCUGUCUCUUGUGUUUCAGUGAAGUCUUCCAGUGAUCUGACAAAAAAAACUCAGUCCCAAGUUAUGUUUUGGCUCAAGUUAGCAUAAACAAUUGUUAUCAAAAAAUGUCUUGUGGUGAUCAAUAGUAUCCCAUAGGUGAGCGCUGUUUGAGGCUAGAAGCUAAACAUCACUACCAAAAGCCACUUAGGGAAGAGAAGAAUUAUUUUAGUUUGUGAUUUCGGGUCAUAGUCCAGCCGUGAGGGGAUCCAGGGUAGGAAGUCAAGCAGAAACCAUGAAGGAACAUACUUCAGCUUCCCUCACGUCUUCAUUCUCAGAUAGCUUUCUUGUGCAGCAAAAGGCUACCUCCCCCAGGAUGAUCCCCCCAGCAGUGGGCUGAGCAUAGCUGGUCACAACGCCAGCCAUCAACAACCAAAUAAUUCCUCGCAGUCACGGCCGCAGGCCAGUCUGACCUGAU
Long non-coding RNA from Mus musculus (house mouse), 1872 nucleotides. RefSeq annotates it as predicted gene, 41042. The transcript is spliced from 3 exons. NCBI's taxonomy places the organism in Eukaryota, Metazoa, Chordata, Mammalia, Rodentia, Muridae. The record is from RefSeq and is a predicted model, not a curated record.